CUGUAGGAGCUCGGACAGAGAUCUUUGUUGACGAAGUCCGGAGAAGUCAGUCUGGGAUUUAUCUAAUGCGGAAGCUCAUCCGAAGAUCGUCCGUCGGGGAAAUCCGAUAGGAGGUCGGCCGGUGAUGGACUUCGGAUAGCGCUGGGGAGGUUCGGCAGACAUCGGAGGCGAUCGGCUAUCGCAGGGACCCAGUUGCUGAAGCUCGUCCGUCGUAGAAGCUCAUCUGGAAUCCAUCCGCUG
RNAcentral lists this long non-coding RNA (240 nucleotides) under Elaeis guineensis (African oil palm). RNAcentral describes it as "long non-coding RNA (EGUI_LNC049639)". Lineage: Eukaryota; Viridiplantae; Streptophyta; Magnoliopsida; Arecales; Arecaceae. The record is from RNAcentral.